RNAcentral lists this long non-coding RNA (330 nucleotides) under Brassica napus (rape). RNAcentral's name for it is "long non-coding RNA (BNAP_LNC009981)". Lineage: Eukaryota; Viridiplantae; Streptophyta; Magnoliopsida; Brassicales; Brassicaceae. The record is from RNAcentral.
AAGCAACAAACUAAGCAGUCAUAUACAUCCGAGACAUUUAUUUACAAAUGGUUCCUAGCACAGAAAAAUCAUAUUAUUAUGUUACGGAUGAUAAGUUUGAUGCAUAAAUACAAUUAAGAAUUUUUUUCAACUGAACAUUUGUGCCUACUGAAUUACCUUACAACAUCCACUGUAUUGUGAUUUUGGCAUGUUAAAGCUGAGAAUCAACAUUGGAGCUUGCGUUAGCAUUUGGAACAUGAAAUAUAGCACCAUCAAUUUCCAGUGUUAAUUCCAUUGACAAUAGUUGUGCAAAAGAACUCUGCUAGUAAGGUAAUCGUGAUUAGUAAUUCU